This is a non-coding RNA of Macaca mulatta (Rhesus monkey), 1698 nucleotides long. The record is from RefSeq and is a predicted model, not a curated record. Lineage: Eukaryota; Metazoa; Chordata; Mammalia; Primates; Cercopithecidae.
CAUGGGGCUCUGCGCCCUGCUCUCCUCUCUCACCUGGGGGAGGAAGUCCACAGUCAGAGGCUCCCACAGCAAUCCCCUCCCUUGCUCAAACCACUGAACCAUCCUGUCCACCAGCCCAGCUUACCUUUUCCACUUGUCUGAAGACCCGCAGCAGGUUUCCACGAAGGACACCUUGAAGCUCUUUCUCACUCCAGCUACGACUCAGCAACUCCUCUAUCAGGACUGGGUAUGUGGACACGUCCUCCAGCCCCUGAGGGAACCUGUGUGGCCACCCACCAGCCAGCUGUGGGACCUCAGCCCUGAUCCUGGGUUAGGGCCUGCUACCCACCAGCCCUAGUCACACAGGGGAAACUGAAGGCCAAGUUCUUCAGGCUAGUGAAUGCAACCGUGGAGGCUCCUGGAGGACUGGGCUUCUGUAGCCUCCACCUGCUGAGCAGAUGGUCAGCCCACAGCUGGUCUGCAGGGCUGGGAGUGGAGCUUAUCUUGGACAGAUGAGCCCUGCCUGGGGAGGGGAGUAUUUAGCAAGUAUGACAACUUGGAGUAGGGCCACUGGGCCACUGAAGGGACAGGGAGAACCUAGGAAACAGGCCCUGAGAGUGGGGAGUGUCGGGUGGGCUACGAGACCAGAGCCUGUGGCUGAGGCCUGGAUAGGAGGAUGGCAGGAUGGGAACGAAGACUAAAGGACUCCCUGCGGCACCCCACCCUAAGAGAAACCUCAGGGAAGCACUCACCGGCCAGCCCCGUCGUAAUUUCCACCAAUCCCGAUGAACUCAGAUCCAAUGACUGCCCUGAUGUGGUCAAAGUGAUCUAAGGUAGAGGUGAGUGUGGGCAGCACUAGGCUGGAGUUAGACCCUGGCACCAGCCCUGUCCCCAGCACUCCAGGCUGUGGCAGUUGGCUCCACAGAGCUAGCUCAUGGCCAGUCAUGAGUCCUGAAGCGGCUACAUGCUGGUCCAUGGACCUAGAGUGGGGACCUCAGAGCCACCCCUUUGGGCCUUUUCCUGCCCAGGAGCCACCCUGCCUCUGGGUUCCUUGAGAGCCUUGUGGGGCUCAGCCUGUCCUGCCCAGACAUGUGGGGAAUGAGAGAAGUUCAAGGAUCGGGAGCAAAACCAAGAGGCAUCAAACCCAUCAGCGCCGACUCUGUGGCUGCAGAUCUGGGUGGCACUGAAGAGCCGUGUCUGCUGCCUCUGGGUCAUUGGGAGGUCUGCCCGUUGCCCAACAGGUGCACUAGACUGCUAGAGUCGUCCUGAGAGCCCUGGCAGCCACAGCCCAAGCUGGCGCUGCACAAAGCUGAGGAGGGACUCACCUGCCACCGUGGACACGUUAGCCAGCAGGUUGCACUGCAGCACCCCCAUGGACAGUGUCACCAUCACGAUGCCACCAUUCUUCUUCUAGACGGAUAAAGGGACACUCAUCUCAGCCCUUCUGGCCUGAAAGCAUGCCUCCUGUGCUGUGGGGGCCCUGGGUCAAGAACCUUUGGAUAACACACGCCUAGCCCUAGGUUUGAGAGCUGGGAUGGCCACCCACCAGAAGCUGCAGGAUGUCAUCGGGAACAUUCAACGAAUUGUCACACACAGCUCUGGCAGCUGAGUGGGAGAAGAUCACAGGAGCCCGAGACACUUCCAGGACCCUUCUCAUCAAGGUGUCCGAUGCAUAGGACAAAUCUAUCAUCAUGCCCAGGCGGUUCAAUUCUUCUACCA